AUAGCAACAGCAGGGUAGCUGAACAUCUUACGGAUGGCCCAGGGCUCCAAAGGCUUGUUUCCUAAGUGAGAGAGAGCCCGGCUGAAGCUCUAUUACCAUUCAUUCUCUAGCCUCCGAAGUCUCAAAGCAUCACUUCCACCAUACUCUAAUUGUCAAGACAAACACAAAGUCCUAGAGAUGGGGGUCUCACUACGUUGUCUGGAGUGCAGUGGCUAGAGUGGAGUGGCUAUUCACAGGAUUCUUGAAAUGGACUGUAAAAGUCUGGAGUCAAGACUUUGUGUUUCCUCUCUAACAUGUAAAGAGCUUAGAAGUUGUUGCUACUGCCCUUACAACAAAUUGAAGCUGGACAAACUGAAAAUCAAUGACUUUUCUUGGACUCACUAUAGAGCUGAGUUUGCAGAGUAAACCACUACCCUGAAAUCUGGAGAGGCAGGUGCACCCAUAGAGUCUCAGCUGAGAUCCAAUUACCUGAAAUAGAAGCUGCCAUUAGGAACACUUAAAUG
This 503-nucleotide long non-coding RNA is filed under the name Pongo abelii (Sumatran orangutan). Its description in RNAcentral is "lincRNA". Lineage: Eukaryota; Metazoa; Chordata; Mammalia; Primates; Hominidae. The record is from RNAcentral.